RNAcentral lists this long non-coding RNA (609 nucleotides) under Volvox carteri. RNAcentral's name for it is "long non-coding RNA (VCAR_LNC002001)". The record is from RNAcentral. Lineage: Eukaryota; Viridiplantae; Chlorophyta; Chlorophyceae; Chlamydomonadales; Volvocaceae.
CGAUAGGUACUCUCGACAACGCCGCGAGAGUUGAGGCUGUUGAAGGUGCCGUGAUGUUGUGCGGAAGUUGUCGUGCCGUUACAGCAACCUUGCCGUAUUAUUGGAGAUUUCUGGGCCUGCUGAGGAGGAAGCCCAUAUCGCCAUGUGAGGUAAAUCCGUCAUGGCAUAGGCCUUAUCUCCGAAUGUGCAGGUUCAUUGCUCCGCAUAUACGGCCGCUGUGCAUCCCGGACCAGCAUAGGGUCGCUCUUCUGUAUCCAUAGAGCUCCGUUCGCAGUUGUGAUGCGCAUGAGGUCAGCAGCGGCACUGAGCUGGAGCAGCAGCGAGCUGUCGGCGAAUAAGCGCGACGAAUGCAGCCAGAAGCCCAGAAUAUCCGCAGGAGCAUCAGCAUCAGCAGCAGCAGCCGCUGCAACAGGGCCAGCAGCAGGGCCAGCAGUAGGGUCAGCGGUAGGGGCAAUAAAAACGACGUCAGGGGUGAUGCAGGAUUGGCGGAGGAUGUUGGCCUUGAGCGUCGUUUUCGGCUCGGUCAACAUAAUGCGAUGUCGUCCGUCUGUCGCUCAUAACUUACAUAGCAACAGGACUGGCGGAGGAUUCCUAUGCAAGGGGAACUAC